Molecule: unclassified non-coding RNA, 253 nt
Filed under: uncultured Gemmatimonadaceae bacterium
Lineage: Bacteria; Pseudomonadati; Gemmatimonadota; Gemmatimonadia; Gemmatimonadales; Gemmatimonadaceae
Description: contains 16S-23S intergenic spacer region
Rfam family: Bacterial small subunit ribosomal RNA
Source: RNAcentral
UACGGAGGGUGCGAGCGUUGUCCGGAAUCACUGGGCGUAAAGGGCGCGUAGGUGGUCGGGUAAGCGUGUGGUGAAAGCUCGGGGCUCAACCUCGAGUCGGCCAUGCGAACUGCUCGACUUGAGCACUGUAGAGGCAGACGGAAUUCCGGGUGUAGCGGUGGAAUGCGUAGAGAUCCGGAAGAACACCGGUGGCGAAGGCGGUCUGCUGGGCAGUUGCUGACACUGAGGCGCGACAGCGUGGGGAGCAAACAGG